RNAcentral lists this ribosomal RNA (253 nucleotides) under uncultured bacterium. Its description in RNAcentral is "partial 16S ribosomal RNA". It matches the Rfam family "Bacterial small subunit ribosomal RNA", at positions 524 to 776 of the family's 1533-position model. The record is from RNAcentral.
UACGGGGGGGGCAAGCGUUGUUCGGAAUUACUGGGCGUAAAGGGCGCGUAGGCGGUUUGCUAAGUUGGAUGUGAAAACUCUGGGCUUAACCCAGAGCCUGCAUCCAAAACUGGCAAACUUGAGUACUGGAGGGGAAAGCGGAAUUCCUGGUGUAGCGGUGAAAUGCGUAGAUAUCAGGAGGAACACCGGUGGCGAAGGCGGGUCUCUGGGCCGAUACUGACGCUGAGGAGCGAAAGCGUGGGGAGCAAACAGG